Molecule: long non-coding RNA, 934 nt
Filed under: Homo sapiens (human)
Lineage: Eukaryota; Metazoa; Chordata; Mammalia; Primates; Hominidae
Source: RNAcentral
AGACUCCAGUCAGUCUCCCUGCAGCUUCAAGUGGCAUCAAAGAGGGACUACACAUGCUCAGAAGUGCAGAUAACUCAUGCACAAGUGGAACUGAAACAGACAAACAGACUGCUAUAGAUUGUGAAAAAAACCAACAUAGAAAUGGAGGACCUAGAAUAGUCUAUAGAAACAUCCCCACCCUGCUCAGUGCUUCAUGGUACAAUAACAGAAAGACUUUAAAGCAGUUAGAAGCAGCUAAGAGGGUGUGGAAGAAGUAAAUUUCCUUAGUUCCAGUAUCAAUUUCUGGCUGUCUACAAUCUGAUUUAAAAACAGAAAAUAAAGACUUUACAAAAUUAUAGCAAAACUGAAGAUAGUUUUGAAAUGUGCAAACAAACCUUAUGAUGAGGAAGUUAUUGUUCUGACACAGACUGGUAUGGGAUAGAGGAAGAAUCAUAGGCAGAUGAUGAAGACCUAAUAUAACAAAGAAAGAGAGAGUCAAAUCAAAACCAGUGCUUGCUCUGCAGCACAUAUACUAAAGUGGAAAUGACACAGAGAUUAGCAUGGCCAGUCCACAAAGAUAACAUGCAAAUUUCUGAAGUGUUCCAUACUUUUCUGCCAUCACAAAAAAUAUGAAAUUAUAGAACUCAUUGGUAGAGCAGAUACACAAAUGAGAAAGAGAAAGGAAUCAAAUAUUAUCACAACAGAAACCCAAAAACCUACAAAAGUAAACAAUAAAAGAGGAAGAAAGAAACAAUGGAUAUAAAAAAGAACCAGAAAACAACAAAAUGACAGGAGUGAGUCCUCACCUAUCAAUAAAAAUCUUGAAUGGAAAUGGCUUAAAUUACCUAAUUAAAAGCAUAGACUAGGUGAAUGAAUAAAAAAUAAACAAGACUCAACAUUUGCUGCCUACAAGAAACCUACUUCACCUGUAAAGACACAAUAGACCAAAAGGAAA